UCCGUAGGCGGGCAAUUAAGUCAGAGGUGAAAUCCCACAGCUCAACUGUGGAACUGCCUUUGAUACUGGUUGUCUUGAGUUACAGUGAAGUAGAUAGAAUAUGUAGUGUAGCGGUGAAAUGCAUAGAUAUUACAUAGAAUACCGAUUGCGAAGGAAGUCUACUAACUGUAUACUGACGCUAAUGGACGAAAGCGUGGGGAGCGAACAGGAUUAGAUACCCUGGUAGUCC
This 229-nucleotide ribosomal RNA is filed under the name uncultured bacterium. RNAcentral's name for it is "partial 16S ribosomal RNA". It matches the Rfam family "Bacterial small subunit ribosomal RNA", at positions 568 to 796 of the family's 1533-position model. The record is from RNAcentral.